This 429-nucleotide ribosomal RNA is filed under the name Chloroflexota bacterium. RNAcentral describes it as "Chloroflexi bacterium partial 16S ribosomal RNA". It matches the Rfam family "Bacterial small subunit ribosomal RNA", at positions 355 to 776 of the family's 1533-position model. Lineage: Bacteria; Bacillati; Chloroflexota. The record is from RNAcentral.
UGGGGAAUUUUGCACAAUGGGCGCAAGCCUGAUGCAGCCAUGCCGCGUGUGUGAAGAAGGCCUUCGGGUUGUAAAGCACUUUCAGCGGGGAGGAAGGCGAUAAGGUUAAUAACCUUGUCGAUCGACGUUACCCGCAGAAGAAGCACCGGCUAACUCCGUGCCAGCAGCCGCGGUAAUACGGAGGGUGCAAGCGUUAAUCGGAAUUACUGGGCGUAAAGCGCACGCAGGCGGUCUGUCAAGUCGGAGGUGAAAUCCCCGGGCUCAACCUGGGAACUGCAUUCGGAACUGGCAGGCUAGAGUCUUGUAGAGGGGGGUAGAAUUCCAGGUGUAGCGGUGAAAUGCGUAGAGAUCUGGGGGGAUACCGGUGGCGAAGGCGGCCCCCUGGACAAAGACUGACGCUCAGGUGCGAAAGCGUGGGGAGCAAACAGG